RNAcentral lists this long non-coding RNA (261 nucleotides) under Physcomitrium patens. Its description in RNAcentral is "long non-coding RNA (PPAT_LNC007665)". The record is from RNAcentral. Lineage: Eukaryota; Viridiplantae; Streptophyta; Bryopsida; Funariales; Funariaceae.
AUCUUAAUCAAAUCUUAAUGUAACCUUUAACAAACCUUGAUAAAAUCCUAAAUCAAUCUUAAAUAAACCUUAAACCAAAUCUUAGAUCAAAUCCUAAUUAAAUCAUAAUGAAACUUUAGUAAAAUCUUAAUAAAAUCCUAAUCAAAUCUUAAUCAAAUUCACACAAAAUUCUAAAUCCUAAAUCCUAACCAAAUCAUAGACACAUCCUAAAUCUUAACCAAAUCCUAGAUUCUAAAUCCUAAUCAAUUCCAAGAUCUUAAA